RNAcentral lists this ribosomal RNA (587 nucleotides) under uncultured Lysobacteraceae bacterium. RNAcentral's name for it is "bacterial SSU rRNA". It matches the Rfam family "Bacterial small subunit ribosomal RNA", at positions 338 to 916 of the family's 1533-position model. Lineage: Bacteria; Pseudomonadati; Pseudomonadota; Gammaproteobacteria; Lysobacterales; Lysobacteraceae. The record is from RNAcentral.
CCUACGGGAGGCAGCAGUGGGGAAUAUUGGACAAUGGGCGCAAGCCUGAUCCAGCCAUGCCGCGUGUGUGAAGAAGGCCUUCGGGUUGUAAAGCACUUUUGUUGGGAAAGAAAAGCGGUCGGUUAAUACCCGGUCGUUCUGACGGUACCCAAAGAAUAAGCACCGGCUAACUUCGUGCCAGCAGCCGCGGUAAUACGAAGGGUGCAAGCGUUACUCGGAAUUACUGGGCGUAAAGCGUGCGUAGGUGGUUUGUUAAGUCAGAUGUGAAAGCUCCGGGCUCAACCUGGGAAUUGCAUUUGAUACUGGCAGACUAGAGUGCGGUAGAGGAGAGUGGAAUUCCCGGUGUAGCAGUGAAAUGCGUAGAGAUCGGGAGGAACAUCAGUUGCGAAGGCGGCUCUCUGGACCAGCACUGACACUGAGGCACGAAAGCGUGGGGAGCAAACAGGAUUAGAUACCCUGGUAGUCCACGCCCUAAACGAUGCGAACUGGACGUUGGGAUCAAUUGAGAUUUCAGUGUCGAAGCUAACGCGUUAAGUUCGCCGCCUGGGGAGUACGGUCGCAAGACUGAAACUCAAAGGAAUUGACCG